This 112-nucleotide ribosomal RNA is filed under the name Escherichia coli. RNAcentral describes it as "partial 16S ribosomal RNA". It matches the Rfam family "Bacterial small subunit ribosomal RNA", at positions 1 to 103 of the family's 1533-position model. Lineage: Bacteria; Pseudomonadati; Pseudomonadota; Gammaproteobacteria; Enterobacterales; Enterobacteriaceae. The record is from RNAcentral.
UUAAAUUGAAGAGUUUGAUCAUGGCUCAGAUUGAACGCUGGCGGCAGGCCUAACACAUGCAAGUCGAACGGUAACAGGAAUCAGCUUGCUGUUUUGCUGACGAGUGGCGGAC